GACGAACGCUGGCGGCGUGCUUAACACAUGCAAGUCGAGCGGUAAGGCCCUUUCGGGGGUACACGAGCGGCGAACGGGUGAGUAACACGUGGGUGACCUGCCCUCAGCUCUGGGAUAAGCCCGGGAAACUGGGUCUAAUACCGGAUAUGACUUCAUGACGCAUGUGUGGAGUGGAAAGCCUUGUGCGGCUGAGGAUGGGCCCGCGGCCUAUCAGCUUGUUGGUGGGGUGANGGCCUACCAAGGCGACGACGGGUAGCCGGCCUGAGAGGGCGACCGGCCACACUGGGACUGAGAUACGGCCCAGACUCCUACGGGA
This 316-nucleotide ribosomal RNA is filed under the name uncultured bacterium. Its description in RNAcentral is "bacterial SSU rRNA". It matches the Rfam family "Bacterial small subunit ribosomal RNA", at positions 28 to 346 of the family's 1533-position model. The record is from RNAcentral.